RNAcentral lists this ribosomal RNA (575 nucleotides) under Alternaria alternata. RNAcentral describes it as "eukaryotic LSU rRNA". The stretch from base 197 to 350 matches the Rfam family "5.8S ribosomal RNA". The record is from RNAcentral. Lineage: Eukaryota; Fungi; Ascomycota; Dothideomycetes; Pleosporales; Pleosporaceae.
UUCCGUAGGGGGACCUGCGGAGGGAUCAUUACACAAAUAUGAAGGCGGGCUGGAACCUCUCGGGGUUACAGCCUUGCUGAAUUAUUCACCCUUGUCUUUUGCGUACUUCUUGUUUCCUUGGUGGGUUCGCCCACCACUAGGACAAACAUAAACCUUUUGUAAUUGCAAUCAGCGUCAGUAACAAAUUAAUAAUUACAACUUUCAACAACGGAUCUCUUGGUUCUGGCAUCGAUGAAGAACGCAGCGAAAUGCGAUAAGUAGUGUGAAUUGCAGAAUUCAGUGAAUCAUCGAAUCUUUGAACGCACAUUGCGCCCUUUGGUAUUCCAAAGGGCAUGCCUGUUCGAGCGUCAUUUGUACCCUCAAGCUUUGCUUGGUGUUGGGCGUCUUGUCUCUAGCUUUGCUGGAGACUCGCCUUAAAGUAAUUGGCAGCCGGCCUACUGGUUUCGGAGCGCAGCACAAGUCGCACUCUCUAUCAGCAAAGGUCUAGCAUCCAUUAAGCCUUUUUUUUCAACUUUUGACCUCGGAUCAGGUAGGGAUACCCCGUUGAACUUAAGCAUAUCAAUAAGGCGGGAGGA